GUGAGGAAUAUUGCGCAAUGGCCGAAAGGCUGACGCAGCGACGCCGCGUGAAGGAUGAAGUUCGUUAGAAUGUAAACUUCUUUUGUAGGGGAUGAAUGUGCCGCUUUGCGGCAUUGACCGUACCCUGCGAAUAAGGAUCGGCUAACUACGUGCCAGCAGCCGCGGUAAUACGUAGGAUCCGAGCGUUGUCCGGAUUUACUGGGUGUAAAGGGCGUGUAGGUGGGUCUCUAAGUCGGUGGUGAAAUCCCGCAGCUUAACUGCGGAAUUGCCAUUGAUACUGGAGGUCUUGAGUACGGCAGAGGGAAAUGGAAUUCAUGGUGUAGCGGUGAAAUGUGUAGAUAUCAUGAAGAACACCGGUAGCGAAGGCGGUUUCCUGGUCCGUAACUGACACUGAGGCGCGAAAGCGUGGGGAGCAAACAGGAUUAGAAACCCCGGUAGUCC
This 441-nucleotide ribosomal RNA is filed under the name uncultured bacterium. Its description in RNAcentral is "bacterial SSU rRNA". It matches the Rfam family "Bacterial small subunit ribosomal RNA", at positions 354 to 796 of the family's 1533-position model. The record is from RNAcentral.